CAAAGACCACAACAUCAAGUGAAAUCCCUGGCUUCAGGAGAAAUGGAGAACAAAUGAUCAGGCAUAAUCACCAUCUUCAUGACCUUCAGGAUUGAAUACUGCCCCAGGUGUCUGAUGCCCUGCAUGAGAAUGAAGCUAUUCUAGAUCAGGAUGCAAAUGCUGUGGUUUGGACUGCUGUUCAUUCUUCUGAAGACGUAUAUGUUCUAUAUGAAGCAAAGAAAGACAGAGAAAGUGACUGACGGAUGAGUGGAAGGAUCCGAGAAUGAAGCAACAGUGGCCUGGACUAAACUCAUAGCUGUGGAAACAGAGGGAAAAGAACAGAUCCAAGAAUAAUUUCAGAGAAGUAAACAGAAUAAUUCAAUAAAUACUAGAAGAAGGAGGUGAGAUGUGGUAAAAAUUAUUAAUUUCCCAGGUUCAAAACCUAAUGCACCAAGAGAAUGACGAGGACAGCUGGGAAGUAAAGUUUGGAAAAGGACAUUAUCUUAGUACGAAACUUCAGAC
This 501-nucleotide long non-coding RNA is filed under the name Chinchilla lanigera (long-tailed chinchilla). RNAcentral describes it as "lncRNA (ENSCLAG00000027036.1)". Lineage: Eukaryota; Metazoa; Chordata; Mammalia; Rodentia; Chinchillidae. The record is from RNAcentral.